GAUGAACGCUAGCGGCAGGCCUAACACAUGCAAGUCGAGGGGCAGCACAUAAAGUGGGUUACUACUUUUGGUGGCGACCGGCGGACGGGUGCGUAACGCGUAUGCAACCUGCCUCCAACAGGGGGAUAACGGAGAGAAAUUUCCACUAAUACCCCAUAAUAUCAGAAUCGGCAUCGGUUUUGGUUGAAAACUCCGGUGGUUGGAGAUGGGCAUGCGUUGUAUUAGAUAGGUGGUGAGGUAACGGCUCACCAAGUCAACGAUACAUAGGGGGACUGAGAGGUUAGCCCCCCACACUGGUACUGAGACACGGACCAGACUCCUACGGGAGGCAGCAGUGAGGAAUAUUGGUCAAUGGGGGCAACCCUGAACCAGCCAUGCCGCGUGCAGGAAGACGGCUCUAUGAGUUGUAAACUGCUUUUACAAGGGGAUAAAUCGGUGUACGUGUACACCGUUGAAGGUACCUUGGGAAUAAGGAUCGGCUAACUCCGUGCCAGCAGCCGCCGUAA
RNAcentral lists this ribosomal RNA (506 nucleotides) under uncultured bacterium. RNAcentral describes it as "partial 16S ribosomal RNA". It matches the Rfam family "Bacterial small subunit ribosomal RNA", at positions 28 to 523 of the family's 1533-position model. The record is from RNAcentral.